This is a long non-coding RNA of Pseudopipra pipra, 544 nucleotides long. RefSeq lists it as uncharacterized. NCBI's taxonomy places the organism in Eukaryota, Metazoa, Chordata, Aves, Passeriformes, Pipridae. The transcript has 4 exons. The record is from RefSeq and is a predicted model, not a curated record.
GAGAACAGCGGAUUGGAAGGCACUGUCCAGCAGCCAAGCGAGAGCAUUGAAGCCCUUCCGAGAGCCCUGCAAGCCUCUGCCUCAGGUGGUGAGCUUUCCCAGCAGCUGGACAUGGAGCCUGGAACAGGCAUGCAGCUCGAGGCCCUAAACCAGGCUUUGCAAGAAGAGCUGUCCACUCUGCUUGGGAAGUGUGAACAACUGGAGAAGAGCAAAUGUCAGCUGCAAGAAGAGAUGACAAAACUCCACCACCAUUUGGAGACUUUGGUGCUGGAUGGCAGCCAAAGAGAACAGUGUACAGGAGAGGUGGCAGAAGGAGCUGACCAGGAAAGAAGUCCAAAGCUACAAGAGGUCAGCCUCGUUUUGCAAGCUGGAAAAGCUUCUGAGGAUAGAGAGGAGGAAACUCCGGGUUAAUGAAGAGAAAGGAAGUCAGUCCCAGCUGGAAGAAAUGAAGAAGAGAUAUUCUGAAAAGGUCAAGGAAGUUGAUAGAUUCCAAAGAGAGGUUGCUGAACUUUCCCAGCAGUUGGACAGGGAGCAUGAACAGUGC